This is a long non-coding RNA of Micropterus salmoides (largemouth bass), 346 nucleotides long. RefSeq lists it as uncharacterized. The record is from RefSeq and is a predicted model, not a curated record. The transcript is spliced from 3 exons. NCBI's taxonomy places the organism in Eukaryota, Metazoa, Chordata, Actinopteri, Centrarchiformes, Centrarchidae.
UGUUUUAUUGUCUCUGAAGCCACACAGAGAGAUGAGAGGAGCAGCUAUGAGUUUAACUGCAGCAGCGAGAGGAUUUGUCGUCUCCCUUCUCUCUGUGUCAGUUUCUACCUGAACAGCCAGAGGAGCAGGAUAACCUUCAGUAUGCCAGCAUUCACUUCACCAACAACCAGGCAGAUCCUCUCUACUCCAACAUCAGACCAGCUCGCUCCCUCAGACACACGGAGCAACAAGAUUUCAUGGAGUACGCUGUUGUCACAUUUAAGAGUAAUACUGCCCCGAGAUCCAGAGGUCAGGAACCUGGAGAGGAUCCAUCUGCAUUGUACAGCACAGUCAACGACCAAAACAG